AUUGAACGCUGGCGGCAUGCCUUACACAUGCAAGUCGAACGGCAGCACGGAGCUUGCUCUGGUGGCGAGUGGCGAACGGGUGAGUAAUAUAUCGGAACGUACCCUGGAGUGGGGGAUAACGUAGCGAAAGUUACGCUAAUACCGCAUACGAUCUACGGAUGAAAGUGGGGGAUCGCAAGACCUCAUGCUCGUGGAGCGGCCGAUAUCUGAUUAGCUAGUUGGUAGGGUAAAAGCCUACCAAGGCAUCGAUCAGUAGCUGGUCUGAGAGGACGACCAGCCACACUGGAACUGAGACACGGUCCAGACUCCUACGGGAGGCAGCAGUGGGGAAUUUUGGACAAUGGGCGAAAGCCUGAUCCAGCAAUGCCGCGUGAGUGAAGAAGGCCUUCGGGUUGUAAAGCUCUUUUGUCAGGGAAGAAACGGUGAGGGCUAAUAUCCCUUGCUAAUGACGGUACCUGAAGAAUAAGCACCGGCUAACUACGUGCCAGCAGCCGCGGUAAUACGUAGGGUGCAAGCGUUAAUCGGAAUUACUGGGCGUAAAGCGUGCGCAGGCGGUUUUGUAAGUCUGAUGUGAAAUCCCCGGGCUCAACCUGGGAAUUGCAUUGGAGACUGCAAGGCUAGAAUCUGGCAGAGGGGGGUAGAAUUCCACGUGUAGCAGUGAAAUGCGUAGAUAUGUGGAGGAACACCGAUGGCGAAGGCAGCCCCCUGGGUCAAGAUUGACGCUCAUGCACGAAAGCGUGGGGAGCAAACAGGAUUAGAUACCCUGGUAGUCCACGCCCUAAACGAUGUCUACUAGUUGUCGGGUCUUAAUUGACUUGGUAACGCAGCUAACGCGUGAAGUAGACCGCCUGGGGAGUACGGUCGCAAGAUUAAAACUCAAAGGAAUUGACGGGGACCCGCACAAGCGGUGGAUGAUGUGGAUUAAUUCGAUGCAACGCGAAAAACCUUACCUACCCUUGACAUGGCUGGAAUCCCCGAGAGAUUGGGGAGUGCUCGAAAGAGAACCAGUACACAGGUGCUGCAUGGCUGUCGUCAGCUCGUGUCGUGAGAUGUUGGGUUAAGUCCCGCAACGAGCGCAACCCUUGUCAUUAGUUGCUACGAAAGGGCACUCUAAUGAGACUGCCGGUGACAAACCGGAGGAAGGUGGGGAUGACGUCAAGUCCUCAUGGCCCUUAUGGGUAGGGCUUCACACGUCAUACAAUGGUACAUACAGAGCGCCGCCAACCCGCGAGGGGGAGCUAAUCGCAGAAAGUGUAUCGUAGUCCGGAUUGUAGUCUGCAACUCGACUGCAUGAAGUUGGAAUCGCUAGUAAUCGCGGAUCAGCAUGUCGCGGUGAAUACGUUCCCGGGUCU
This 1352-nucleotide ribosomal RNA is filed under the name uncultured bacterium. RNAcentral describes it as "bacterial SSU rRNA". It matches the Rfam family "Bacterial small subunit ribosomal RNA", at positions 28 to 1381 of the family's 1533-position model. The record is from RNAcentral.